Molecule: ribosomal RNA, 460 nt
Filed under: uncultured bacterium
Lineage: Bacteria
Description: partial 16S ribosomal RNA
Rfam family: Bacterial small subunit ribosomal RNA
Source: RNAcentral
CCUACGGGAGGCAGCAGUGAGGAAUAUUGGUCAAUGGACGCAAGUCUGAACCAGCCAUGCCGCGUGCAGGAAGACGGCUCUAUGAGUUGUAAACUGCUUUUGUACGGGGGUAAACGCAGAUACGCGUAUCUGUCUGCAAGUAUCGUACGAAUAAGGAUCGGCUAACUCCGUGCCAGCAGCCGCGGUAAUACGGAGGUUUCAAGCGUUAUCCGGAUUUAUUGGGUGUAAAGGGUGCGUAGGCGGUCGGAUAAGUUAGAGGUGAAAUCCCGAGGCUCAACUUCGGAAUUGCAUCUGAUACUGUUCGGCUAGAGAGUAGUUGAGGUAGGCGGAAUGCAUGGUGUAGCGGUGAAAUGCUUAGAGAUCAUACAGAACACCGAUUGCGAAGGCAGCUUACCAGACUACUUCUGACGUUGAGGCACGAAAGCGUGGGGAGCAAACAGGAUUAGAUACCCCUGUAGUC